AACGAACGCUGGCGGCAUGCCUAACACAUGCAAGUCGAACGAGACCUUCGGGUCUAGUGGCGCACGGGUGCAUAACGCGUGGGAACCUGCCCUUAGGUUCGGAAUAACUCCCCGAAAGGGGUGCUAAUACCGGAUAAUGUCUUCGGACCAAAGAUUUAUCGCCUUUGGAUGGGCCCGCGUUGGAUUAGCUAGUUGGUAGGGUAAAAGCCUACCAAGGCGACGAUCCAUAGCUGGUCUGAGAGGAUGAUCAGCCACACUGGGACUGAGACACGGCCCAGACUCCUACGGGAGGCAGCAGUGGGGAAUAUUGGAAAAUGGGCGAAAGCCUGAUCCAGCAAUGCCGCGUGAGUGAUGAAGGCCUUAGGGUUGUAAAGCUCUUUUACCCGGGAUGAUAAUGACAGUACCGGGAGAAUAAGCCCCGGCUAACUACGUG
RNAcentral lists this ribosomal RNA (433 nucleotides) under uncultured bacterium. Its description in RNAcentral is "partial 16S ribosomal RNA". It matches the Rfam family "Bacterial small subunit ribosomal RNA", at positions 29 to 507 of the family's 1533-position model. The record is from RNAcentral.